AUUGAACGCUGGCGGCAGGCCUAACACAUGCGAGUCGAGCGGAUGAAGGGAGCUUGCUCCUGGAUUCAGCGGCGGACGGGUGAGUAAUGCCUAGGAAUCUGCCUGGUAGUGGGGGAUAACGUCCGGAAACGGGCGCUAAUACCGCAUACGUCCUGAGGGAGAAAGUGGGGGAUCUUCGGACCUCACGCUAUCAGAUGAGCCUAGGUCGGAUUAGCUAGUUGGUGGGGUAAAGGCCUACCAAGGCGACGAUCCGUAACUGGUCUGAGAGGUUGAUCAGUCACACUGGAACUGAGACACGGUCCAGACUCCUACGGGAGGCAGCAGUGGGGAAUAUUGGACAAUGGGCGAAAGCCUGAUCCAGCCAUGCCGCGUGUGUGAAGAAGGUCUUCGGAUUGUAAAGCACUUUAAGUUGGGAGGAAGGGCAGUAAGUUAAUACCUUGCUGUUUUGACGUUACCAACAGAAUAAGCACCGGCUAACUUCGUG
This 484-nucleotide ribosomal RNA is filed under the name uncultured bacterium. Its description in RNAcentral is "partial 16S ribosomal RNA". It matches the Rfam family "Bacterial small subunit ribosomal RNA", at positions 30 to 507 of the family's 1533-position model. The record is from RNAcentral.